UUGACUGCGAAGAAAGAAAGUUAUCAUGCUACACAGCACCACAGAGACCUGCAUCUUUGAUUCCCUUCUCUCGCUCGCUCUCGGUCAGUCUUUUUCUUUCUUAUUUGCUGCAAAUAUUUCGGUCUUAUCGAAAUAUCAAAGAAGAGCCUUCAAAUCAACAAAGACUGAACUCAUAACUAUAUUCAUAGCAUGGCUGUAUUUUGGUAUUUAGUCCCCGCUGAUACGACGAGCCAAAGUUAAAGUUUGCUCUGCGCCCUGGAACAUUCGGUCUUCAACAUGUUGUGCUGUGCUCUAGAUCCGAUACUGGAGUGAUCAAAAGGAGCAGUGGACUGUACCAAACGCAAAAAGGGGGGUUCGGCUAGAAAACGCACCGUUUCGACAAGAAACAGUCAAGCUAGGCCCCCCCUCCCCGUGUCAUUUACCGGCCUACACGGUAAAACGACCACGGGCAGGAGUUUCCAGUACCUGGUUGACUGGGAAAGUUAGGGCCCGGAGGAGAGGUGCUGGGUUCCCUCUAGAGACAUCCUGGAUUCAGCCCUCAUCACUAUCUUCCACCGCCGACACCCCAUUCUACCGGGUAUGCGUCCAGUCCUCCCGGUUUUGACCCUUGCCUGUUUCUGGACUCUGUACCCACCUGCCUGA
Molecule: long non-coding RNA, 642 nt
Organism: Oncorhynchus gorbuscha (pink salmon)
Lineage: Eukaryota; Metazoa; Chordata; Actinopteri; Salmoniformes; Salmonidae
Exons: 3
Source: RefSeq, a predicted model, not a curated record